This 253-nucleotide ribosomal RNA is filed under the name uncultured bacterium. RNAcentral describes it as "partial 16S ribosomal RNA". It matches the Rfam family "Bacterial small subunit ribosomal RNA", at positions 524 to 776 of the family's 1533-position model. The record is from RNAcentral.
GACAGAGGGUGCAAACGUUGUUCGGAAUUACUGGGCGUAAAGCGCGUGUAGGCGGCAACGCAAGUCGGAUGUGAAAUCCCAUGGCUCAACCAUGGAAGUGCACCCGAAACUGCGUCGCUAGAGUCCUGGAGAGGAAGGUGGAAUGCUUGGUGUAGAGGUGAAAUUCGUAGAUAUCAAGCGGAACACCGGUGGCGAAGGCGGCAUCCUGGACCGGUAUUGACGCUGAUGCGCGAAAGCCAGGGGAGCAAACGGG